Molecule: ribosomal RNA, 425 nt
Filed under: uncultured bacterium
Lineage: Bacteria
Description: bacterial SSU rRNA
Rfam family: Bacterial small subunit ribosomal RNA
Source: RNAcentral
GGGGAAUAUUGCACAAUGGGCGCAAGCCUGAUGCAGCCAUGCCGCGUGUGUGAAGAAGGCCUUCGGGUUGUAAAGUACUUUCAGCGAGGAGGAAGGUGUUGAGGUUAAUAACCUCACCGAUUGACGUUACCCGCAGAAGAAGCACCGGCUAACUCCGUGCCAGCAGCCGCGGUAAUACGGAGGGUGCAAGCGUUAAUCGGAAUUACUGGGCGUAAAGCGCACGCAGGCGGUCUGUCAAGUCGGAUGUGAAAUCCCCGGGCUCAACCUGGGAACUGCAUUCGAAACUGGCAGGCUAGAGUCUUGUAGAGGGGGGUAGAAUUCCAGGUGUAGCGGUGAAAUGCGUAGAGAUCUGGAGGAAUACCGGUGGCGAAGGCGGCCCCCUGGACAAAGACUGACGCUCAGGUGCGAAAGCGUGGGGAGCAAAC